GGACCUAUAGUUUAAUGGAUAGAAUAUUCGGCUUCGGACCGAAUGAUCUAGGUUCGAAUCCUAGUAGGCCCA
RNAcentral lists this transfer RNA (72 nucleotides) under Candidatus Pacearchaeota archaeon. Its description in RNAcentral is "tRNA-Arg". It matches the Rfam family "tRNA". Rfam says of the family: Transfer RNA (tRNA) molecules are approximately 80 nucleotides in length. Their secondary structure includes four short double-helical elements and three loops (D, anti-codon, and T loops). Lineage: Archaea; Nanobdellati. The record is from RNAcentral.